Molecule: long non-coding RNA, 514 nt
Filed under: Serinus canaria (Common canary)
Lineage: Eukaryota; Metazoa; Chordata; Aves; Passeriformes; Fringillidae
Description: lncRNA (ENSSCAG00000000193.1)
Source: RNAcentral
GUCAGGAAGGUCCAUGGGAACAACCCUAGCUCCUGACUUCUCCUGAACACCUGUGGAGUUUUGGCCCUGAGGGAAACAGGUUCCCUAUCUGCCCCAUGCUCAUGCUGAUGACUGCUGGUAUUUCUGCAGCGCGCUCACCCCGUGCCCGGCCAGCUCUCCGAGGAUGAGGGAGGCAGGAGGACAGGAGUUAGCUCCUCCAGCCAGGCCUGAUGUCACACUCCUGGCUUCUGAGAACUGCCAGAGAGCACUGCAGGUAUUUGGCGUUGGAGGUGCUCAGGCUUCACACCAUCCAUCCCAGCCCCCAAGAAAAGGGGUCACCAUGAGGCGGGGGACGGCUGGAACACCCCUCCCCACAGAGAAAAUGGCAGAGAGAUUCCAGCCUGGGACCAGACACCUUUCCCCACGAGCCAUCCAGGUGCUCCAUGGGCUGGAGCCACAUCAGACACGAAGGAACAUCUUCAUGUUUUUGGCUGAGAACAACCGACGGCGGCAGGAGCAGCAGAGGCAGUUCUUC